CCUCAUCUCGUGCGCUGUCAGCCUAACCCCUUGGUUCAGCAGCUUCUGGAGGGAAUGGGAGGCCAGGUGACAGCCGAACAGUUGUGGCGAUUUGUGAGAGAAGGUUCCAGAAGCAGAGGCCCUCAGGUCCUUUUGCAGACCACGGUGCGG
Pristis pectinata (smalltooth sawfish) is the source of this 150-nucleotide long non-coding RNA. RefSeq lists it as uncharacterized. The transcript has 3 exons. The record is from RefSeq and is a predicted model, not a curated record. Lineage: Eukaryota; Metazoa; Chordata; Chondrichthyes; Rhinopristiformes; Pristidae.